UGUGGGAGCGAGCCUGCUCGCGAUGGCGUCCGAUCCGUCAACAUUGUCUUUGAAUACAAGGCCCUCAUCGCGAGCAGGCUCGCUCCCACG
This 90-nucleotide unclassified non-coding RNA is filed under the name Pseudomonas sp. ok272. The record is from RNAcentral. Lineage: Bacteria; Pseudomonadati; Pseudomonadota; Gammaproteobacteria; Pseudomonadales; Pseudomonadaceae. RNAcentral also lists the same sequence under 1 other name.